UGUGUGUGUGUGUGUGUGUGUGUGUGCUGUGCUUGAUUGCAUGAGUGGAGUCUGGUGUGCAGGGGUUGUGGUGCAGCUGCAAAACGUCAUCAAUCUACUCUACUACAAAUACUGGUCUUCAACUUCACCAUGCUGCCAGAUCGUAGACUCUGUUCCCAAAGUCAGUCUAGUUCAAGCCUCUUAUCUGAAAAGCUCUUGUCUGUUUUUGUAUGAAUGUCUCAUACCUGUUUACCUAGCACACCUCUCUGGACUCAGCACUCAGCUCUGGACCUCUGGAUCUCUGGACUCAGCAUAUGUGGCAUAAUCAGUCAUAUAACAUCUUAAAUAAAUGUGUAGCACCAGACUGAGCCUGUGGGACAUCAUUCUGUGCACCGCUACACAUACAGCUCUGGAUCUCUGGAUCUCUGGAUCUCUGGAUCUCUGGACUCAGCAUACAGCUCUGGAUCUCUGGACUCAGCACACAGCUCUGGAUCUCUGGAUCUCUGGAUCUCUGGAUCUCUGGACACAGCUCUCCCCUCCCCCCCCCCUCUGCCAGCAAACUCGCCUGACUUGCUCUACCCAGUUCUCGCCAUCAGAAAUUAAGUAUUGUAAAUAAAUUAUUUCUUUGCAUCUA
Long non-coding RNA from Sebastes umbrosus (honeycomb rockfish), 613 nucleotides. RefSeq lists it as uncharacterized. The record is from RefSeq and is a predicted model, not a curated record. NCBI's taxonomy places the organism in Eukaryota, Metazoa, Chordata, Actinopteri, Perciformes, Sebastidae. The transcript has 2 exons.